This is a long non-coding RNA of Caretta caretta (loggerhead turtle), 290 nucleotides long. RefSeq lists it as uncharacterized. NCBI's taxonomy places the organism in Eukaryota, Metazoa, Chordata, Testudines, Cheloniidae. The record is from RefSeq and is a predicted model, not a curated record.
AAUAAACAAGGCACACACUCUGAGCUGCUAACACUAGAAUACACACACAGCACUCAAGUUGACAGGACCUGCAACCAAAACCAACCCACUAACUCCCUCUUCGCCUAACACACGGAGCGAGCACUUGGAGCUGGUGCCCCUUGAUUUAUUGGAAGACCCCUGCCUGGCAUGAAGGGAGAUGAAGACACAUGCUCCUUCAGUGUUUGGACUCCAUCACCUUCUGAUUGUUUUGGAGACUUCCAGAUUGCCCUAGGUACUUCCUCUUAUGGAAAAGCAGGAGUUCACAGAAC